RNAcentral lists this ribosomal RNA (502 nucleotides) under uncultured bacterium. RNAcentral describes it as "bacterial SSU rRNA". It matches the Rfam family "Bacterial small subunit ribosomal RNA", at positions 8 to 518 of the family's 1533-position model. The record is from RNAcentral.
AGAGUUUGAUUCUGGCUCAGGAUGAACGCUGGCGGCGUGCUUAACACAUGCAAGUCGAACGGGAAUUACAUUUUAGCUUGCUAAGUUGUAAUUCUAGUGGCGGACGGGUGAGUAACGCGUGGGUAACCUGCCUUAUACCGGGGGACAACAGUUGGAAACGACUGCUAAUACCGCAUAAGCGCACAGUAUCGCAUGAUAGAGUGUGAAAAACUCCGGUGGUAUAAGAUGGACCCGCGUCUGAUUAGCUAGUUGGCGGUGCAACGGACCACCAAGGCGACGAUCAGUAGCCGGCCUGAGAGGGCAAACGGCCACAUUGGGACUGAGACACGGCCCAAACUCCUACGGGAGGCAGCAGUGGGGAAUAUUGCACAAUGGAGGAAACUCUGAUGCCAGCGACGCCGCGUGAGUGAAGAAGUAUUUCGGUAUGUAAAGCUCUAUCAGCAGGAAAGAAAAUGACGGUACCUGACUAAGAAGCCCCGGCUAACUACGUGCCAGCCGCUGC